UUAUAAGUUUGGUUUCUGGCUCAGGACGAACGCUGGCGGCGUGCCUAAUACAUGCAAGUUGAGCGCUGAAGGUUGGUACUUGUACCAACUGGAUGAGCAGCGAACGGGUGAGUAACGCGUGGGGAAUCUGCCUUUGAGCGGGGGACAACAUUUGGAAACGAAUGCUAAUACCGCAUAAAAACUUUAAACACAAGUUUUAAGUUUGAAAGAUGCAAUUGCAUCACUCAAAGAUGAUCCCGCGUUGUAUUAGCUAGUUGGUGAGGUAAAGGCUCACCAAGGCGAUGAUACAUAGCCGACCUGAGAGGGUGAUCGGCCACAUUGGGACUGAGACACGGCCCAAACUCCUACGGGAGGCAGCAGUAGGGAAUCUUCGGCAAUGGACGAAAGUCUGACCGAGCAACGCCGCGUGAGUGAAGAAGGUUUUCGGAUCGUAAAACUCUGUUGGUAGAGAAGAACGUUGGUGAGAGUGGAAAGCUCAUCAAGUGACGGUAACUACCCAGAAAGGGACGGCUAACUACGUGCCAGCAGCCGCGGUAAUACGUAGGUCCCGAGCGUUGUCCGGAUUUAUUGGGCGUAAAGCGAGCGCAGGUGGUUUAUUAAGUCUGGUGUAAAAGGCAGUGGCUCAACCAUUGUAUGCAUUGGAAACUGGUAGACUUGAGUGCAGAGAGAGAGAUUAGUC
This 679-nucleotide ribosomal RNA is filed under the name Lactococcus lactis subsp. lactis. RNAcentral describes it as "bacterial SSU rRNA". It matches the Rfam family "Bacterial small subunit ribosomal RNA", at positions 1 to 666 of the family's 1533-position model. The record is from RNAcentral. Lineage: Bacteria; Bacillati; Bacillota; Bacilli; Lactobacillales; Streptococcaceae.